UGAGGAAUAUUGGUCAAUGGGCGAGAGCCUGAACCAGCCAAGUCGCGUGAAGGAAGACUGCCUUAUGGGUUGUAAACUUCUUUUAUACAGGAAUAAAAAGGCUUACGUGUAGGCCAUUGCAAAUACUGUAUGAAUAAGCAUCGGCUAACUCCGUGCCAGCAGCCGCGGUAAUACGGAGGAUGCGAGCGUUAUCCGGAUUUAUUGGGUUUAAAGGGUGCGCAGGCGGGCUUUUAAGUCAGCGGUGAAAUCUGGACGCUUAACGUCCAAACUGCCGUUGAAACUGGGAGUCUUGAGUAUGGAUGAAGUAGGCGGAAUUCGUUGUGUAGCGGUGACAUGCAUAGAUAUAACGAGGAACUCCGAUUGCGUAGGCAGCUUACUAAGCCAUAACUGACGCUCAUGCACGAAAGCGUGGGGAUCAAACAGGAUUAGAUACCCUGGUAGUCCACGCCGUAAAACGAUGAUUACUAGUUGUAUGCGAUAUGAUAGUAUGUGACUAAGCGAAAGCGAUAAGU
This 512-nucleotide ribosomal RNA is filed under the name uncultured bacterium. Its description in RNAcentral is "partial 16S ribosomal RNA". It matches the Rfam family "Bacterial small subunit ribosomal RNA", at positions 355 to 865 of the family's 1533-position model. The record is from RNAcentral.